Molecule: small nuclear RNA, 102 nt
Organism: Hyaena hyaena (striped hyena)
Lineage: Eukaryota; Metazoa; Chordata; Mammalia; Carnivora; Hyaenidae
Source: RefSeq, a predicted model, not a curated record
GCACACUUUGGAAAUACACAUACUAAAAUUGGAAUGGUACAGAGGAGAUUAGCAUAUCCUCUGUGCAUGCAUACACGUGUUUGCAACACAUUGCAUAUUUUU